This 253-nucleotide ribosomal RNA is filed under the name uncultured bacterium. Its description in RNAcentral is "partial 16S ribosomal RNA". It matches the Rfam family "Bacterial small subunit ribosomal RNA", at positions 524 to 776 of the family's 1533-position model. The record is from RNAcentral.
UACGAAGGGGGCUAGCGUUGCUCGGAAUCACUGGGCGUAAAGCGCACGUAGGCGGAUCUUUAAGUCAGGGGUGAAAUCCCAAGGCUCAACCUUGGAACUGCCUUUGAUACUGGGGAUCUCGAGUCCGGAAGAGGUGAGUGGAACUGCGAGUGUAGAGGUGAAAUUCGUAGAUAUUCGGAGGAACACCAGUGGCGAAGGCGGCUCACUGGCUCGACACUGACGCUGAGGUGCGAAAGCGUGGGGAGCAAACAGG